AAAAACCACUGCUGCUGUGGCUCUUAGGCUUUUUGAGCUGGAUGGUUCAAUUACGUACAUUCAGCAUGAAAAGGUUGAGCCUAGUGAAGACAAGCCAGUUAAAGUAUAUAUGAAGCUUCCUUCAAGAUACUCUCUUCUCAAGAGCAAAGAGGUUGAACGGAAACGACUAAAGCAAAGUGAACAUGUCAAAGGAGAUAACGUAACGGACUUGCGUAGCAAACGUAACAGCAAGAAACGCCGGCGGGGAGGCCGUGAUCAAGGAUAUGGUACAAAGUGGCAAAGAAGAGCACCUGGUCUUAAGUCUGAUGCAAAUAGGCGUAAUGCUAGGGAAACUGAGAAAUUCAAUUUAGGAUCAAAACAAGGACGAAAGACAAAUACUCAAGGUUCCAGUCGGGGUCGUCGAACAGUUAGGAAGAGGAGAGCAGAAAUGAUGGUAGCUGAGGAGGCAUUGAUUGGUCGUAUGACCAACACUGUUGGCCCGAAGAAUUAUGGUGGAUCAUUGAGAAACUUGGGCAAGGAAGAUUGGGGCAUUGAAAAAGUGAGGAUGGAUGUGGAUGAUGCUGAUAAUAGUAACAGUAUGGAAGCAGCAGAAUCUGAUGAUAAUGUUGAAGCAGAUGAAUAUGAACAAGUAAACUGGGAUCAAAGUGUUAAUGGAGCUUCCAGUAGAUGGAAUAGAAAUGUAUUGGAAGUGAGUGAUGAUGAUGGAGAUGCUUCUGGAGACGAUAAUGGCAUUGAAGAAAUGGGAGCUGAAGAGUCCGAGGGAGAUGUAGAAAUAAGUGAGGGUUCAGAGGGAGUAGGAAAUAAGAUAGAGAAUGAUGAAGGCACAGACACUGCAGAUUCAGAUGACUAUAUUAGUGACUGAAAAGAGUAUGCUAUUGAUGAAAGUCCCAGCAGCCAUUUGCUCGUGAGCUGCAUUAUUUUUGGCCUUUGCAGCUUAGCCAGCGACUGAAUUUAAGCCUAAGAGAACAAAGAAACAAGGUUGCCCUUUCCAAUUUAUGG
This 999-nucleotide unclassified non-coding RNA is filed under the name Hevea brasiliensis (rubber tree). Lineage: Eukaryota; Viridiplantae; Streptophyta; Magnoliopsida; Malpighiales; Euphorbiaceae. The record is from RNAcentral.